Non-coding RNA from Podarcis lilfordi (Lilford's wall lizard), 229 nucleotides. The record is from the annotation of a GenBank genome assembly. NCBI's taxonomy places the organism in Eukaryota, Metazoa, Chordata, Lepidosauria, Squamata, Lacertidae.
UUCAAUCAAUCAAAACCUUUAUUGCAUUAGCAUACAGCCAUAGCAAAAUAAGACAAAAAUACUAGAGACAAGCAACCAAACAAAAUUCAAAGCAAUAUUACUGGCGUAAUGACAUUUAAAUUACCCUAAGACAAUAAUGUAAAGAUUUAGUUGCCAGCGCCAAGAAUCCAAAAUGCGGAUGUAUAUAAAACAUAAAAUGGCCCCAAAAUAGGCUCGGCACAUUGGGUUG